UACGUAGGUGGCAAGCGUUGUCCGGAAUUACUGGGUGUAAAGGGAGCGCAGGCGGGAAGCCAAGUCAGCUGUGAAAACUACGGGCUUAACUUGUAGACUGCAGUUGAAACUGGUUUUCUUGAGUGAAGUAGAGGUUGGCGGAAUUCCGAGUGUAGCGGUGAAAUGCGUAGAUAUUCGGAGGAACAUCGGUGGCGAAGGCGGCCAACUGGGCUUUAACUGACGCUGAGGCUCGAAAGUGUGGGGAGCAAACAGG
Molecule: ribosomal RNA, 253 nt
Filed under: uncultured bacterium
Lineage: Bacteria
Description: partial 16S ribosomal RNA
Rfam family: Bacterial small subunit ribosomal RNA
Source: RNAcentral